AUUGAACGCUGGCGGCAUGCCUUACACAUGCAAGUCGAACGGCAGCGCGGGGCAACCUGGCGGCGAGUGGCGAACGGGUGAGUAAUAUAUCGGAACGUACCCUGGAGUGGGGGAUAACGUAGCGAAAGUUACGCUAAUACCGCAUACGAUCUAUGGAUGAAAGCAGGGGACCGCAAGGCCUUGUGCUCCUGGAGCGGCCGAUAUCUGAUUAGCUAGUUGGUAGGGUAAAAGCCUACCAAGGCAUCGAUCAGUAGCUGGUCUGAGAGGACGACCAGCCACACUGGAACUGAGACACGGUCCAGACUCCUACGGGAGGCAGCAGUGGGGAAUUUUGGACAAUGGGCGCAAGCCUGAUCCAGCAAUGCCGCGUGAGUGAAGAAGGCCUUCGGGUUGUAAAGCUCUUUUGUCAGGGAAGAAACGGGUCUUUCUAAUACAGAGAUCUAAUGACGGUACCUGAAGAAUAAGCACCGGCUAACUACGUGCCAGCAGCCGCGGUAAUACGUAGGGUGCAAGCGUUAAUCGGAAUUACUGGGCGUAAAGCGUGCGCAGGCGGUUUUGUAAGACUGUCGUGAAAUCCCCGGGCUCAACCUGGGAAUGGCGAUGGUGACUGCAAGGCUAGAGUUUGGCAGAGGGGGGUAGAAUUCCACGUGUAGCAGUGAAAUGCGUAGAUAUGUGGAGGAACACCGAUGGCGAAGGCAGCCCCCUGGGUCAAAACUGACGCUCAUGCACGAAAGCGUGGGGAGCAAACAGGAUUAGAUACCCUGGUAGUCCACGCCCUAAACGAUGUCUACUAGUUGUCGGGUUUUAAUUAACUUGGUAACGCAGCUAACGCGUGAAGUAGACCGCCUGGGGAGUACGGUCGCAAGAUUAAAACUCAAAGGAAUUGACGGGGACCCGCACAAGCGGUGGAUGAUGUGGAUUAAUUCGAUGCAACGCGAAAAACCUUACCUACCCUUGACAUGGCAGAAAUCCCGGAGAGAUUUGGGAGUGCUCGAAAGAGAAUCUGCACACAGGUGCUGCAUGGCUGUCGUCAGCUCGUGUCGUGAGAUGUUGGGUUAAGUCCCGCAACGAGCGCAACCCUUGUCAUUAGUUGCUACGAAAGAGCACUCUAAUGAGACUGCCGGUGACAAACCGGAGGAAGGUGGGGAUGACGUCAAGUCCUCAUGGCCCUUAUGGGUAGGGCUUCACACGUCAUACAAUGGUACAUACAGAGGGCCGCCAACCCGCGAGGGGGAGCUAAUCCCAGAAAGUGUAUCGUAGUCCGGAUUGUAGUCUGCAACUCGACUGCAUGAAGUUGGAAUCGCUAGUAAUCGCGGAUCAGCAUGUCGCGGUGAAUACGUUCCCGGGUCUUGUACACACCGCCCGUCACACCAUGGGAGCGGGUUUUACCAGAAGUAGGUAGCUUAACCGCAAGGAGGGCGCUUACCACGGUAGGAUUCGUGACUGGGGUG
This 1451-nucleotide ribosomal RNA is filed under the name Zoogloea sp. PW-7. RNAcentral describes it as "bacterial SSU rRNA". It matches the Rfam family "Bacterial small subunit ribosomal RNA". Lineage: Bacteria; Pseudomonadati; Pseudomonadota; Betaproteobacteria; Rhodocyclales; Zoogloeaceae. The record is from RNAcentral.